AACACCGCAAGGCACAACCACACACGCACCAUCGGCAUCCACCAAUCUACCAUACGGACACUCACUAGUCAAGCACUCAAGCCUAACAAACAGGCAAUGGAAGCCGGGGGAGCGACCGCCGGCGUCGGCGCCGAGAAGAAUUCGUGGCCGGAGGUGGUGGGCCUGUCGUCGGAGGAGGCCAAGAAGAAGAUCAUAGAGCACAAGCCGGACGCCAGCGUCCACGUCGUUCCGGCCGACUCCUUCGUCACCAUGGAUUACAACACCGGCCGAGUCAGGGUGUUCGUCGACUCCAACGACAAGGUCACGAAAGCUCCCAGGAUUGGCUAG
Molecule: ribosomal RNA, 327 nt
Filed under: Triticum aestivum (bread wheat)
Lineage: Eukaryota; Viridiplantae; Streptophyta; Magnoliopsida; Poales; Poaceae
Description: partial small subunit ribosomal RNA
Source: RNAcentral